Molecule: transfer RNA, 72 nt
Filed under: Caudoviricetes sp.
Lineage: Duplodnaviria; Heunggongvirae; Uroviricota; Caudoviricetes
Description: tRNA-Gln
Rfam family: tRNA
About the family: Transfer RNA (tRNA) molecules are approximately 80 nucleotides in length. Their secondary structure includes four short double-helical elements and three loops (D, anti-codon, and T loops).
Source: RNAcentral
UGGAGCAUAGUCAAGCGGUAAGACAACGGACUUUGAAUCCGUGAUGCAUUGGUUCGAAUCCAAUUGCUCCAG